AUCAUUUCUCAGCCUUAUGGCUAAGAUCAAGUGUAGAAAAUAUGCCUCAAUUUCUAUUUUCUUGAGUGUUUUUAUCAGGAAUAGGAAUUGAGUUUUGUUAAAAGCCCCCCCCUUUUUUUUUUGCCAAGUGUGGUGGCUCAUGCCUGUAAUUCCAGCACUUCAGGAGGCUGAGGCAGCAGAAUU
Molecule: small nuclear RNA, 183 nt
Organism: Symphalangus syndactylus (siamang)
Lineage: Eukaryota; Metazoa; Chordata; Mammalia; Primates; Hylobatidae
Product: U2 spliceosomal RNA
Source: RefSeq, a predicted model, not a curated record